Molecule: small nuclear RNA, 107 nt
Organism: Otolemur garnettii (small-eared galago)
Lineage: Eukaryota; Metazoa; Chordata; Mammalia; Primates; Galagidae
Source: Ensembl
GUUCUUGCUUCGGCAGCACAUAUACUAAAAUUGGAACGAUACAGAGAAGAUUAGCAUGGCCCCUGCACAAGGAUGACAUGCAAAUUCAUGAAGCAUUCCAUAUUUUU